Long non-coding RNA from Drosophila pseudoobscura, 2088 nucleotides. RefSeq lists it as uncharacterized. The record is from RefSeq and is a predicted model, not a curated record. NCBI's taxonomy places the organism in Eukaryota, Metazoa, Arthropoda, Insecta, Diptera, Drosophilidae. The transcript has 2 exons.
CGUAUAUGAGUAUGUACAUACAAAUAUACGAGUAGUAUUUGUGUGCCUGCGCCAGGUCUCUCUCGACUGAUAAGCAGCAGUUUUGAAUAGACGAUGGUUAGGGAAGAGAUAACAGCUUCUUCCAUCAAGAUAAUGGUGAAAAGUGUGUCACGUUUGACAUUUGUUUGUGAUGAUUCUCUGUAUGCCUCUGUCUGGGCUGCAACUAUCUCUUCCCGGGGUGUCGUCUGAGUCUGCGUGUGUGGGAAGAAUACUCGUACUCGUACGUGAUCAAUGGGAAAUUGAUUUUAGCGUGUAAUUAUUAGAUAUGGCGUAUAGCGUACAGCCAUCGCCCACAGCAGACAAACGACGAACGACAAACGUGAGCUCCACACUGGCACUCGAGAAACAAGCAACCAGUUUCGGUCUAGUAGCAAGUCGCAGGUCCGUGGGCGUUUUCAUUAAGACGAAACAAGUGGCAACAGGUGGACUCGAGUGGACUCAAGUGGAUGUUGCCUUAUGGAGUCAAGCUGGCUAGCUGUCUGGCUGUAGCUUUUGGACUCUUGUCUCUGAUGUAAUGCAUAAUGCAUACACUGGUUAACAAUCAAUUGUGGAAUUAUGUACAUACUUUACUUGAAUAUAAUAUUUGUACUGCCGUUGUUUUCUUAUCGCGGCUAUUGUUGGUUCGUUGCACUGACUUUUCCUCGAUUUCCACUUAUCGAAAUACGAGUAUAUAAAGAACUAGCGAGGCGAGUCGAGUCGAGGCGCAUUAUCACCGGACUUCCGAUGUUUUCCAAAACUUUGAGAUGAAUCAUGAGGUUGAGAACCAGUUUGUUCGACAAAUGCGAUCCAAUGCGAUGGCAGCUAGAUGUAGAUGAUUCAGCUAAAACUUUACACAUUAUAGCAUUUGGAGUACAAAAACACGGGCGUUAAACGAGCGGAACGAAUAUGGCGCGACAAGUUUUUCAUUCACAAAACAUAGUUCGAACAAACGAACAAUCAAUAUCGAUGGAACAUGGAACGUGGGAGCGGAGCCCCAAGUUUCCAGUGGUGUCACAAUUCUUCUUUGCAUUCGCUUCUCUCUCCUCUCCUAAUCAAACAGCAAACAAUUUGGACAGCUUGCACUGUGGGGUUAAGUGGGACGCGUUCCACUUCCACUUUGGGUUUUGACACUUGACUUGCAACGCACUUGGAGAGAGAGAGAGGGAGAUAUGGGGAGAGAGAUGGAGACUGGGUGCUGUUGCUUUACCGUUGGCUUGGCUUGGCCACCUUUUUACAGUUUUACAGUUGUCAAUGUGUCGCUGCGGCGCACUAUAAAUUGAUUAUGCUGUUAAUUUAUUAGAUUUUUUUGGACAUCAAACUCGUUUUACAGUUCUUAGCUUAGACACACAAACACAGGCACAAACACACACUUUGCCAUAAUUGCUGGCCACCGCCUCGAAGCGAAGCACAGAACAGCGCCUCGGAAAACAAGUCCAAUUCACCUGUAGCUAUAAGAGCGUAGCAUAGAGUCGUCGCGUCACUUCUUGGCCAGGCGAGUGGAGCGAGUCGAGCAAGCCACCGACUUUACCACUUUACCACUUUGGUUGCUGUUGCUGCUGUUUACAGCGUUUACUCACACACGAAACAGCAUACACACGCACACACACACAUGCACAUGCACACCACUACGAUUUAUUUUCUUGUAUUACUUGUUUUUUAUGCUUGCUUCAGCUUCAGCUUCAUGUUGGGUUUUGUUUAUAUGUGUAUGCGUUGUUGUUGCAUGCGCAUAAAUUAUAGAGAGGAGGAAAAAACACACGUCUGUACACAAUAAAAACCUGUUUGUUGCUUUUAUAUGCCUUUGCGUCUCUCUGGGUGUGUACGAACAGGACGGGACGCUGUGCGGGGGUUGGGAUUAGGUUUGAUUUGUAUAUCGCCUGCUUUAAACACUUUUCCUAGCCAUCCUCCCACUAAAUUUGUAUCUUCUUUUCACUACACGCAUUUGAAAGGCAUUUGCAAAGCCUUUUAACUCACCAAAAUUCACAAAAACAUUUAAAUAAAUUAUCAAAUUAAGCGAAAACACGGAACACGAAAAAAUGUAUACACUUCACACUCUGACGGCCAUUUUUAAAA